UUGACCCAAUCAGUGUAAUCAGGCAUAGCAACGGCGAACUUCUUCCCUAAGACAGAUCCAUCCUUCACACCAAUAGACUUCCAAGCUCUCCCUAUCUGCUCCAAUCUGGCCGGGUCACUCUGCUUCUCAAAAUACACACUUUCAGCUACCUCAGCCUCAAGUGGUCUUCCCUUCAUCACAAACCCCAACUGGCGAAGAGAAAGAACCGGGUUGUAAUUGAUGCAACCCCUAGUCC
RNAcentral lists this long non-coding RNA (235 nucleotides) under Lathyrus oleraceus (garden pea). RNAcentral's name for it is "Pisum sativum (pea) long non-coding RNA (PSAT_LNC038670)". Lineage: Eukaryota; Viridiplantae; Streptophyta; Magnoliopsida; Fabales; Fabaceae. The record is from RNAcentral.